AUUGAACGCUGGCGGCAUGCCUUACACAUGCAAGUCGAACGGUAACAGGCCUUCGGGCGCUGACGAGUGGCGAACGGGUGAGUAAUGCAUCGGAACGUGCUCAGUCGUGGGGGAUAACGCAGCGAAAGCUGUGCUAAUACCGCAUACGAUCUGUGGAUGAAAGCGGGGGACCUUCGGCCCUCGGGCGAUUGGAGCGGCCGAUGUCAGAUUAGGUAGAUGGUGGGGUAAAGGCCCACCGAGCCGGCGAUCUGUAGCUGGUCUGAGAGGACGACCAGCCACACUGGGACUGAGACACGGCCCAGACUCCUACGGGAGGCAGCAGUGGGGAAUUUUGGGCAAUGGGCGCAAGCCUGGUCCAGCAAUGCCGCGUGCAGGAAGAAGGCCUUCGGGUUGUAAACUGCUUUUGUACGGAGCGAAAAGGCUCCCUCUAAUACAGGGGGCUCAUGACGGUACCGUAAGAAUAAGCACCGGCUAACUACGUGCCAGCCGCCGCAGUAA
This 498-nucleotide ribosomal RNA is filed under the name uncultured bacterium. RNAcentral's name for it is "partial 16S ribosomal RNA". It matches the Rfam family "Bacterial small subunit ribosomal RNA", at positions 29 to 523 of the family's 1533-position model. The record is from RNAcentral.